GCUUGCUCCUGAAUUCAGCGGCGGACGGGUGAGUAAUGCCUAGGAAUCUGCCUGGUAGUGGGGGACAACGUUUCGAAAGGAACGCUAAUACCGCAUACGUCCUACGGGAGAAAGCAGGGGACCUUCGGGCCUUGCGCUAUCAGAUGAGCCUAGGUCGGAUUAGCUAGUUGGUGAGGUAAUGGCUCACCAAGGCGACGAUCCGUAACUGGUCUGAGAGGAUGAUCAGUCACACUGGAACUGAGACACGGUCCAGACUCCUACGGGAGGCAGCAGUGGGGAAUAUUAGACAAUGGGCGAAAGCCUGAUCCAGCCAUGCCGCGUGUGUGAAGAAGGUCUUCGGAUUGUAAAGCACUUUAAGUUGGGAGGAAGGGUUGUAGAUUAAUACUCUGCAAUUUUGACGUUACCGACAGAAUAAGCACCGGCUAACUCUGUGCCAGCAGCCGCGGUAAUACAGAGGGUGCAAGCGUUAAUCGGAAUUACUGGGCGUAAAGCGCGCGUAGGUGGUUCGUUAAGUUGGAUGUGAAAUCCCCGGGCUCAACCUGGGAACUGCA
RNAcentral lists this ribosomal RNA (551 nucleotides) under uncultured bacterium. Its description in RNAcentral is "bacterial SSU rRNA". It matches the Rfam family "Bacterial small subunit ribosomal RNA", at positions 78 to 625 of the family's 1533-position model. The record is from RNAcentral.